RNAcentral lists this transfer RNA (66 nucleotides) under Cichlidarus nyanzae. Its description in RNAcentral is "tRNA-Asp". Lineage: Eukaryota; Metazoa; Platyhelminthes; Monogenea; Gyrodactylidea; Gyrodactylidae. The record is from RNAcentral.
AUAGAUUUAGUUAAAUUUUAUAAUAUGCAUUUGUCGUGUGUAAGUUGUUUAUAUAAACAAUCUAUU